This 572-nucleotide ribosomal RNA is filed under the name uncultured Glomeromycotina. Its description in RNAcentral is "SSU rRNA". It matches the Rfam family "Eukaryotic small subunit ribosomal RNA", at positions 548 to 1114 of the family's 1831-position model. Lineage: Eukaryota; Fungi; Glomeromycota. The record is from RNAcentral.
UUGGAGGGCAAGUCUGGUGCCAGCAGCCGCGGUAAUUCCAGCUCCAAUAGCGUAUAUUAAAGUUGUUGCAGUUAAAAAGCUCGUAGUUGAAUUUCGGGAUUGACGUGACGGUCAUGCCUUAAGGGGUAUGAACUGUUACUGUUGAUUUCUCACCUUCUGGAGAAACUUGAUGUCCUUUAUUGGGUGUCUUGCGGAUCCAGGACCUUUACCUUGAAAAAAUUAGAGUGUUUAAAGCAGGCAUUUUUGCUCGAAUACAUUAGCAUGGAAUAAUAGAAUAGGACGGCAUGGUUCUAUUUUGUUGGUUUCUAGGAUCACCGUAAUGAUUAAUAGGGAUAGUUGGGGGCAUUAGUAUUCAAUUGUCAGAGGUGAAAUUCUUGGAUUUAUUGAAGACUAACUACUGCGAAAGCAUUUGCCAAGGAUGUUUUCAUUAAUCAAGAACGAAAGUUAGGGGAUCGAAGACGAUCAGAUACCGUCGUAGUCUUAACCAUAAACUAUGCCGACUAGGAAUCAGACGAUGUUAAUUUUUUAAUGACUCGUUUGGCACCUUACGGGAAACCAAAGUGUUUGGGUUC